AGCAGAAGGGCUCACUGUCUUCUACUGGAGUAAAUUCUCUGCCCCAGACAAUGUUGCGAUGGAAAUUCAGACCUCCGGCCCAGAGAGGCUGCAGCGGCGGCUUCCCGGCAGCAACAAGAUUCAGCGGGAAAGCCGCAACGAGCAACGCUACUUUAUGCAGCAAGAUGAUGACAUACUUCACUUACUGGGUUUGGACCCUGAUGACUUUGAUCCAGAUGAAAGAUCUGACAAAAUCAAAAAUCCAAAUAGUAUCCAGGGCGGGAAAUGGCAGCUUGGCUUCCAAGCCAUGUCCUUUGACCUCUAUGCCAAAUAUGG
Long non-coding RNA from Oreochromis aureus, 315 nucleotides. The record is from Ensembl. Lineage: Eukaryota; Metazoa; Chordata; Actinopteri; Cichliformes; Cichlidae.